GAGUUUGAUCAUGGCUCAGAUUGAACGCUGGCGGCAUGCUUUACACAUGCAAGUCGAACGGGCUUAGGGGCUUGCUCCUAAGUUUAGUGGCGAACGGGUGAGUAAUACAUCGGAACGUACCGUGUAGUGGGGGAUAACGUAGCGAAAGUUACGCUAAUACCGCAUACGAUCUACGGAUGAAAGUGGGGGACCUUCGGGCCUCACGCUAUACGAGCGGCCGAUGUCUGAUUAGCUAGUUGGUGAGGUAAAGGCUCACCAAGGCAACGAUCAGUAGCGGGUCUGAGAGGAUGAUCCGCCACACUGGGACUGAGACACGGCCCAGACUCCUACGGGAGGCAGCAGUGGGGAAUUUUGGACAAUGGGCGAAAGCCUGAUCCAGCCAUGCCGCGUGUCUGAAGAAGGCCUUCGGGUUGUAAAGGACUUUUGUCAGGGAGCAAAACUUAGAGGUUAAUAACCUUUGAGGUUGAGAGUACCUGAAGAAUAAGCACCGGCUAACUACGUG
This 502-nucleotide ribosomal RNA is filed under the name uncultured bacterium. Its description in RNAcentral is "bacterial SSU rRNA". It matches the Rfam family "Bacterial small subunit ribosomal RNA", at positions 9 to 507 of the family's 1533-position model. The record is from RNAcentral.